AGUCCCUUAGCUCAACGGUAGAGCGUGCGACCGAUAAUCGCUUGGUAAGAGUUCGAUUCUCUUAGGGACUA
Molecule: transfer RNA, 71 nt
Filed under: Vibrio phage phi-Grn1
Lineage: Duplodnaviria; Heunggongvirae; Uroviricota; Caudoviricetes; Pantevenvirales; Straboviridae
Also listed under: 1 other name
Description: tRNA-Ile
Rfam family: tRNA
About the family: Transfer RNA (tRNA) molecules are approximately 80 nucleotides in length. Their secondary structure includes four short double-helical elements and three loops (D, anti-codon, and T loops). Further hydrogen bonds mediate the characteristic L-shaped molecular structure. tRNAs have two regions of fundamental functional importance: the anti-codon, which is responsible for specific mRNA codon recognition, and the 3' end, to which the tRNAs corresponding amino acid is attached (by aminoacyl-tRNA synthetases). tRNAs cope with the degeneracy of the genetic code in two manners: having more than one tRNA (with a specific anti-codon) for a particular amino acid; and 'wobble' base-pairing, i.e. permitting non-standard base-pairing at the 3rd anti-codon position.
Source: RNAcentral